RNAcentral lists this ribosomal RNA (661 nucleotides) under Escherichia coli. Its description in RNAcentral is "bacterial SSU rRNA". It matches the Rfam family "Bacterial small subunit ribosomal RNA", at positions 851 to 1512 of the family's 1533-position model. The record is from RNAcentral. Lineage: Bacteria; Pseudomonadati; Pseudomonadota; Gammaproteobacteria; Enterobacterales; Enterobacteriaceae.
GCUAACGCGUUAAGUCGACCGCCUGGGGAGUACGGCCGCAAGGUUAAAACUCAAAUGAAUUGACGGGGGCCCGCACAAGCGGUGGAGCAUGUGGUUUAAUUCGAUGCAACGCGAAGAACCUUACCUGGUCUUGACAUCCACGGAAGUUUUCAGAGAUGAGAAUGUGCCUUCGGGAACCGUGAGACAGGUGCUGCAUGGCUGUCGUCAGCUCGUGUUGUGAAAUGUUGGGUUAAGUCCCGCAACGAGCGCAACCCUUAUCCUUUGUUGCCAGCGGUCCGGCCGGGAACUCAAAGGAGACUGCCAGUGAUAAACUGGAGGAAGGUGGGGAUGACGUCAAGUCAUCAUGGCCCUUACGACCAGGGCUACACACGUGCUACAAUGGCGCAUACAAAGAGAAGCGACCUCGCGAGAGCAAGCGGACCUCAUAAAGUGCGUCGUAGUCCGGAUUGGAGUCUGCAACUCGACUCCAUGAAGUCGGAAUCGCUAGUAAUCGUGGAUCAGAAUGCCACGGUGAAUACGUUCCCGGGCCUUGUACACACCGCCCGUCACACCAUGGGAGUGGGUUGCAAAAGAAGUAGGUAGCUUAACCUUCGGGAGGGCGCUUACCACUUUGUGAUUCAUGACUGGGGUGAAGUCGUAACAAGGUAACCGUAGGGGAACC